AGUUACUAAACCUAAAGGCGCAAUGAAAGUGAAGGUUCUCGCCUUUGAGCGGACCGAGGGAAGAUGGGCGCGGUAAUCGCGCCCCGCAUUCCCGGGGCGUCUCGUUCUCAUUACGAGUUGAGGCGCACCCAGAGCGUACACGUUGGGACCCGAAAGAUGGUGAACUAUGCCUGGCCAGGACGAAGUCAGGGGAAACCCUGAUGGAGGUCCGUAGCGAUUCUGACGUGCAAAUCGAUCGUCGGAGCUGGGUAUAGGGGCGAAAGACUAAUCGAACCAUCUAGUAGCUGGUUCCCUCCGAAGUUUCCCUCAGGAUAGCUGGUGCUCAAACAGAUUCUCAUCUGGUAAAGCGAAUGAUUAGAGGCCUUGGGGCCGAAACGACCUCCAACCUAUUUCUCAAACUUUAAAUGGGUGAGAUCUCCGGCUUGCUUAAAGCUAUGAAGCCGCGAGAUGGACAAUAUAUCAGAUGGAUCAGGGUGCCAAGUGGGCCAUUUUUGGUAAGCAGAACUGGCGCUGUGGGAUGAACCAAACGCAGAGUUAAGGCGCCCGAAUCGACGCUCAUGGGAAACCAUGAAAGGCGUUGGUUGCU
Molecule: ribosomal RNA, 586 nt
Filed under: Parvotettix sp. GP
Lineage: Eukaryota; Metazoa; Arthropoda; Insecta; Orthoptera; Rhaphidophoridae
Also listed under: 1 other name
Description: eukaryotic LSU rRNA
Rfam family: Eukaryotic large subunit ribosomal RNA
Source: RNAcentral